RNAcentral lists this ribosomal RNA (253 nucleotides) under uncultured bacterium. RNAcentral describes it as "partial 16S ribosomal RNA". It matches the Rfam family "Bacterial small subunit ribosomal RNA", at positions 524 to 776 of the family's 1533-position model. The record is from RNAcentral.
UACGAGGGGGGCAAGCGUUGUUCGGAAUUAUUGGGCGUACAGGGCGCGUAGGCGGCGCCACAAGUCACUUGUGACAACUCUGGGCUCAACUCAGAGCCUGCAAGCGAAACUGUGGUGCUGGAGUAUGGGAGAGGUGCGUGGAAUUCCCGGUGUAGCGGUUAAAUGCGUAGAUAUCGAGAGGAACACCUGGGGCGAAAGCGGCGCACUGGACCAUAACUGACGCUGAGGCGCGAAAGCUAGGGGAGCAAACAGG